Molecule: long non-coding RNA, 2727 nt
Organism: Papaver somniferum (opium poppy)
Lineage: Eukaryota; Viridiplantae; Streptophyta; Magnoliopsida; Ranunculales; Papaveraceae
Exons: 9
Source: RefSeq, a predicted model, not a curated record
UCUAAUAUUCUAUCAAAAUCAAAAAGAAAUUGAAUCCAAAAAUUGUAACCUUUACCCUCUUCAAGAUUCAAUCUUUCAAUACUUAUUAUUAGAUGAAAACAGCAGCAGAGAUAGAUUCUUAUUAUAGAUGACCAAGAUUAGCUCAUCUAUAAUCUUCAGAUACACAGACCCACGUUUGACGUUAUUGAUCUAAUAAUGGCAUUACGUGGUCUUUGUAUCCGAAGAUUAUGGUAUAUCAGCUGCACUAACUGUCCUUUGCAAUCUUAAUUUUAGAUUUACUCGAGAUGGGGGAUUGGAGAACACUUUGAUUUGAUCUAACAAUCAAAUGGGACAAUAGCUCAGCGCUGAUAAUAAUGGUUCAUCAACUACAUGGUCUAGAUGCUGCCGAUAGGUGGAAAGAUCAAGUUGUGAACGAGUCAGAUAGGUUUUAGAAGGGGCGAUUUCACUCAUUUUGGACUUGGGGACUGCAUAGCUUAAAAGUUUUAUCCAUCUAUAUGCAUAUAUGUUAUUAAGAAGGCGUUUCUGAAAUGCUGCUUCCCUCUUGAUUAGGUUAUAUAUGCGAGGAGGCACAGGUGAGCUGCUAGGAAUGUUACCUGGGCCUGCCUUGUAUGUGAGUUGUGCGGUCUGGAAUCCCAGGAAACUGCCCAUGUUGGUAUUUGCAAGUGAUGACCUUACUACUAUGUUCAAACUGUGUUAACUUGAAGCCCAAAGAAACCCAUGAAAAUCGGGUCGUCUGGCGUAACGAUGGACGAACUUAACAUUUUCAGUAGCAAAUACAAUCAGUUCAGUGGUGGUGAUAACAAUUCAUCAAUAUCAACAUGGUCUGGAUGCUGCAAUUGGAUUGAAAGGUCAAGUUGUCUAUCUGACCUGGAGAUUACUUGUCUAUCUACACACAUAUGUUAUCUGGAAGGUGUUUCUGACAAGAUCGCUUCCCUCCUGAUUAGGUUGUAAAUGGCACAGAGGCAAUGGACAAAGUUAUGAAUUUCAGUAGCAAAUAGAAUGAAACAUCAAUCAUCUUAGUCAGGGCUGAUGAUAAUGAUUCAUCAAAUACAUGGUCUAGACGCUGCAGUUGUUGAAAAUCAAGUUGUGAACAAAUCGGAUAGGUUUUAGAAGGGGUGAUAUCAUUCAUUUCGGACUUGGGACGGCUUAAAAGGAAGGACAUUUAUCUGUCUAUAUGGAUAUAUUGGUCGGAAGGUGUUUCUGGAAUGCUGUUUUCUUUUGAUUAGGUUGGCUGUUUGGAUGUUACCUGGGACUUCCAGAGCUGUGAACUGUGCUGGAUGGAAACAGUGGAACCUGCGUAUACUGGUAUUAAUUGCAUGUGAAGGCUGUACCGUUCCAGUUAGAGGUUUAAUCUGUGUUAGCGUGAAGCACAAAAAACUCAUGAUAAUCAGGCUGUCUGCCGCAGCAAUGGGUGGACUUAAGAUCUUCAGAAUCAAAAGAUGAAGUGCCAAUCAUCUUAGUUCAGUGAUGAUUGAGUGAGAUCUUAUUCUAGCACAUGCUGUGGAUGAUGUAAAGAGAAGUCUUUUUGGCGUCGUGUAGCAGAGUCUCGCCACAUAGCUUCAAAGUCAUAUCAUGAUGAUCGAUUGCCGUCAGUUGCCAAUUCAAAUCAUCGUGUUUAGGGGAAGCAGCGAUACGUGGAGCAACUCACAACUACAGAUUAUUAUCACCAUCAGUUCAGCACCUACCUCGGAUCAGUUGCUCGUAACUAGUCAGCUUGGACACAUCAGCUCGUGAAGUACCAACCAACUCACUCGGGAUAGUCAGGUCAUUCCAGAUUAACAUACUUGGUUCGGAUCAUUCAUCUCGAUACACUCAGGACUCAUAGUCACCUAUAUACCAACUAUCAAGCUAUAUCGGAAGUAAUUAUGUCGGACCAGUCAUAGAGGUCCAUCCAAGUUCGCAAAGCUCACGAAGAUGCACCAAUUAGCUUACAAGCCACAUGAUGGAGAUAACGAGUUUAUAGGAGUUUCUUUUGUUUAAGGAUCAAGUUAGAAGUUAUAGCAAGGAACAAUGCCACUUCAUCAUCGCUAGCAGCAAGAAAAAGCUCAAGUAACUAUUCAAUCCGGUCAACUAGCUCGCUCGUAAAAUGAAGUUCACCCCUCCCUCCAUAGAUAGAGAGGAGUGUUGUCCUUGUUGGGAGAUGGGGGCUGGACGGGCAGUGGGGAAUCUGGGGAUUGACACGUAUUGUUGAUUUGAAAGUUGCAAUUUCUUGCUUUGCUGCUUACUUUCCAACCUAAAGUUCAGAAUAUGAAAACUGGAGAGAAUUCGCGUGGAAACCGCUGAAAGAAAUAGCUGGAUUGACUCAAAAAAGUAAGGCAGACGCAACAGAAUCUCCAGUCCUAAGUUUCAAAUGAUUUAUUACAAGAAGAACAACAUAUUGUAGCUUUCAGUAGAUAAUGGUAUUCAAGGACAGAACAUCAUAGACCACGUACUGCACAUGAUGAAACCAUUUUGUUACAGAUGAUACAGGCUGCUUUGUAGUCAUAAAAAAAAUCAAUGGAAUAAGCAGAGUUCUUAGUCUUAAUCGUCUUCGGAUUCCUCAUGACCGACUUCAUUUUCUUGAUUGUAUUUUCCUGAUUGUAUUCCCUCUUUUUCUCCUUCAUCAUCAAAGGAGAACUCUAUUUGUCCAUUUCCUCCCACAUACGUACCAGAGUUCUUUGAAACUAAGGUUCCAAAGUAACUCUCGUGUUCAUUGAGUUUGUUUGGCAAACCAUGAAAAUUUACUUC